This 377-nucleotide ribosomal RNA is filed under the name uncultured bacterium. RNAcentral's name for it is "bacterial SSU rRNA". It matches the Rfam family "Bacterial small subunit ribosomal RNA", at positions 962 to 1341 of the family's 1533-position model. The record is from RNAcentral.
CGAAGAACCUUACCAGGUCUUGACAUCCGACUAACGAGAUAGAGAUAUGUCAGGUGCCCUUCGGGGAAAGUCGAGACAGGUGGUGCAUGGUUGUCGUCAGCUCGUGUCGUGAGAUGUUGGGUUAAGUCCCGCAACGAGCGCAACCCCCUGCCAUUAGUUGCUACGCAAGAGCACUCUAAUGGGACCGCUACCGACAAGGUGGAGGAAGGUGGGGACGACGUCAAAUCAUCAUGCCCCUUAUGACCUGGGCUACACACGUAAUACAAUGGUCAUUAACAGAGGGAAGCAAAGCCGCGAGGCAGAGCAAAUCCCCAAAAAUGAUCUCAGUUCGGAUCGUAGGCUGCAACCCGCCUGCGUGAAGUUGGAAUUGCUAGUAA